CAGGAGAGGACCGGCCUAAACCGGCGCGAGCAGAUCCCAGCCGGCCCGCCCGCGCGCCGCCGCCGCCGCCGCCGCCGCCCGCGCGCCCCGCUAUACAUACGGCAUAUGUCGCACGGCGCUCGCGCUCGCGGCCGCGCAGCCUAGCCUGCUGACGUGGGGCGGGGCGAGCACGCUGCGGCGCUUCCGCUUUACACGCCCCGGCCGGUGACCGGUUCGAUCUGGCUCGGGCCACCCCGACACCUUUACAGUUGCGGUGACGGCGGCGGGGAAUGGUGCGCGGGGUGCAAGAGCCCCAAAGAAACAAUGACAAGUGGGCAAGGAAUACUCGCCGAAGCCCCCACCUCACCCCGCUUUCAAUGUUAGUGUCACUUUUCCUUCCCCGUCCCGGCCAGUCUUGGCGCUCUCUCCCCACUCGGGUCACAUCAAGGUAGCCAGUCUACUGACUGCAUAGAAAGGGAAACACGCUGUUUCAGCUAACAAGACAAGUGCUUACAGAAGCUGCCUGACAACUUCCACCCGAAAACGUGGAAAAUGGGGUCGGGCUAACGCUGCCCACCCAAUUUCUCCGUGAAUAGAACUGGCAGCUAAAAAGUUGCGCCCAGGGCCAUCCGGCACCUGUAAGGCCGGCGGAAGCUUCUCCUCUCCACUCUGUUGAAACCUAUAGACGCUCCUUUCGGUGCUGCAAGCGGGCCCAGGUGAGGGGCAACAGAACGUCUUAACUCUGCCUUUCAAGAUUUUGCAACUCUGGCUCAACUCUAACAUCUUCAAGAUGCAGCAAAUUUGACUUUGAUGUGGAGAUUAGAGAUGCACUUUUCUCCUGUGUGGGCUCUGUUAUCCACAUCAGACUGCCCCUCUACAUGGAUGUAUCCUCACCCUACUCCGGCUGGGCCUCUCCACACUGGACUGACCUUUCUGUGAUGCUGUCUUCACCCUGUAUCAGAACCUUACACAGAAAACUGCCACCUUUUUCUUAAUAUAAAGAAGACUCUUUUCCAAAAAGAAUUCAAAUUUGUCUGUGUUCGAUAAGAUUUAAGUUUAUUUUAUGACAUUUCUGUAAAAGCUUGAGCUAGGGGUGUGUGUGUGUGUGUGUGUGUGUGUGUGUGUGUGUGUGUGUUUUAUUUCAGAAAUUAUUUUUAAAAUACAAGAAAGAGAAGGGGCGGGGGCUGCAAAUAACUUUGUUAAUUGUCUGCAUUGUAUUCAGCCUUGUGCUAGAUGCUUUCAGGAGAUGGUCUCAUUUACUUCCCACCCUUACCCCUCAGGUUAGGCAGUGUUGCCUCAGUUUUAUUGCUCAAGAAGUAAGUCUAAAAGGUUAAGGACAUAAAUGCUAAUGUUUUGGGAGAAAGCAACUUUAUUUUAAUAGAAUGAUUACAAUUGCUCAUUUAUUAAGCUGUGCCAGAAAAACUGAAUUGACAGAUUUUUUUUGGUCUUUUUUCUUUUGUAGGGACUGAUUUUUGUCAUUGUUAAUUAGAUUAGGUAGAUAUUUGAUUUAAUUCUAUUUUCAGGAUAAUGAAAGGCACAGGGUUGUUUGUGUUCUUCCCUAUUACACUUUUGUUCACUGCUGUCUCCAGUAUCUAAAGGGAGUGGCAACAUUAAGUGUAAAGUAGGCAUUCAAUUUCUAUUUCAAAAGAAAGAGAAAAAGAAUGUGAGACAUAUAUAUAAUAAUAUUAUUAUUUUAUAUAUUGCUAUCAAUAUUUUAUAUAUAUAUAUAUAUAUCAAUAGAAAGAGAGAGAGAAAGAGAAAGGAAAAGAAGGGAAGGCAGGAAGAGAGAGGAGAUAAUCCUCUACUUGGCAUAUAAAAGGCUUCAGUAAAAAAAUAAAAAAAGAUACAGUAAGAAGUUUCACCCAUGGCAUUGGGGUGUUGUGGACUUGGGGUGGUGGAAGGUUAGCACUUAUUGGAAUUUGCUAUAUGCCAUGCACUGUUAAGCACAUUAUACCCAUAAUUUCAUUAGUCCUAAAACCAACCAAGUGAGCUAUUUAUUAUUAUUUCCAUUUUUACAAAUGAGAAAAUUGUACUUAGUGUGGUUAAGUAAUUUACCCAAGGUCACACAGCUCACAAGUGGCACAGUCAAGAUGUAAAUCUAUAUCUGUCUGACUUACAGACAUAUUUUUUAAUGGGCUGUUUACCUAUUCAUUUAGCAAACAUUUACUGAAUCUAUAUCACUAUAUCUAUAUUACUAUAUCAUUCUUGUCAGAUAAUCUCAUUUCUUCUCAUACCUUGCAAUAUCACAUGUAAGGUAAAUACUCCCGAAGUAUUUCUUCAUAUACCCAGAUGCCUUUUUGACAUUCCUUACUCUGCCAUCUGUACAUACUUUCACCUAAUAUGUAAGAUCAAAUUCUAGAUUUUAGCCCCCAAUUUGUCUUUUCCUGGGUCUCCAUUUCCUCUGCAGAUUAUACAACUAUCGAUAUAGUUAAUAAAAUCAUAAAAUUGGGAGUCAUCCUUAACUCUUUUCUUUUUUAAAAACUCUCAAAUCCUAAUCUCAUGUUUUACAAGACUUUAUAAGGCCUGUCCACUACCCCCAUCUCUACCUUCAUUUCUCUCCUGCUUCUUAUCUGCUAGUCAUGUGGGCAUUCUGGAAGUUUUGAGAACAAAUCAAGCUCUUUCUUUUUUUUUUAUUACAUUAAAAUUUUUUUUAAAUUUUAUUUAUUUAUUUUUUGGCUGUGUUGGGUCUUUGUUGCUGUGC
Long non-coding RNA from Aethalodelphis obliquidens (Pacific white-sided dolphin), 2680 nucleotides. RefSeq lists it as uncharacterized. The transcript is spliced from 4 exons. NCBI's taxonomy places the organism in Eukaryota, Metazoa, Chordata, Mammalia, Artiodactyla, Delphinidae. The record is from RefSeq and is a predicted model, not a curated record.